CUUAGUAGCGGCGAGUGAGCGGCAAAAGCUCAAAUUUGAAAUCUGGCUCUUUCAGAGUCCGAGUUGUAAUUUGAAGAAGGUAUCUUUGGGUCUGGCUCUUGUCUAUGUUUCUUGGAACAGAACGUCACAGAGGGUGAGAAUCCCGUGCGAUGAGAUGAUCCAGGCCUAUGUAAAGUUCCUUCGAAGAGUCGAGUUGUUUGGGAAUGCAGCUCUAAGUGGGUGGUAAAUUCCAUCUAAAGCUAAAUAUUGGCGAGAGACCGAUAGCGAACAAGUACAGUGAUGGAAAGAUGAAAAGAACUUUGAAAAGAGAGUGAAAAAGUACGUGAAAUUGUUGAAAGGGAAGGGCUUGAGAUCAGACUUGGUAUUUUGUAUGUUACUUCUUCGGGGGUGGCCUCUACAGUUUAUCGGGCCAGCAUCAGUUUGGGCGGUAGGAGAAUUGCGUUGGAAUGUGGCACGGCUUCGGUUGUGUGUUAUAGCCUUCGUCGAUACUGCCAGCCUAGACUGAGGACUGCGGUUUAUACCUAGGAUGUUGGCAUAAUGAUCU
RNAcentral lists this ribosomal RNA (544 nucleotides) under [Candida] sp. YS70. RNAcentral's name for it is "eukaryotic LSU rRNA". It matches the Rfam family "Eukaryotic large subunit ribosomal RNA", at positions 79 to 640 of the family's 3401-position model. The record is from RNAcentral. Lineage: Eukaryota; Fungi; Ascomycota; Saccharomycetes; Saccharomycetales.